UACGUAGGGCGCAAGCGUUGUCCGGAAUUAUUGGGCGUAAAGAGCUCGUAGGCGGUUUGUCGCGUCUGCUGUGAAAACCUAAGGCUCAACCUUGGGCUUGCAGUGGGUACGGGCAGACUAGAGUGCGGUAGGGGUGACUGGAAUUCCUGGUGUAGCGGUGGAAUGCGCAGAUAUCAGGAGGAACACCGAUGGCGAAGGCAGGUCACUGGGCCGCAACUGACGCUGGAGGAGCGGAAAGCCGUGGGGAGCGAACAGG
RNAcentral lists this ribosomal RNA (256 nucleotides) under uncultured bacterium. RNAcentral's name for it is "partial 16S ribosomal RNA". It matches the Rfam family "Bacterial small subunit ribosomal RNA", at positions 524 to 776 of the family's 1533-position model. The record is from RNAcentral.